GCAAAUUUUUUUUAGUUUCGCUGUCAGUCGACGUACACUCAAGCCUCAGACCUCACACCUCUGUUGCCGUCUAGAUUCACCGCUGCCGCUCCGUCUCACACCUCCGCUGCCAUCUCACCCUCGUUGUAUUCGCCUUCCUCUGCCAGCCGUCGCCUCUUCCCUCCCCGGUCUGCCGACGUCGCCUCUUUCCUCCAUUAACAUGGUACAGUAAAGUGAGAAGAUUCUAUCCCGUGGACCUGUUCUUUGAAGCUUAAUUGUCAAGUAUGUAGAUGGCAGUUGGAAUUUUGUGCAGUCUCAUUAUGCAAGGCCAGCAAGGGGAUUCCGGUCUUCUACCUUGUCCAGCUCUCAAGGCUGUAUUAGAGCAGCGUCUUAUUAUUGCAUUUUUUUAAAAUUGCCAUUACUUUCUCUAUAUGCUUUAUCAGUUAUGCUGAAUGUAGUCAUAUGCAUACUUCUUUUAAUGUUUUGCUUCUAAAUUCUAAUUGAUUUAUAAUUUUCAUGUUAGGACAUGUUGAAAUCCAGAGCUUCCCUUCCUAUUGCUGAGUUAAAAGGAUGAUAUUUUGCAUUCACUUGAAAAGAAUGAUAUUUUGGUUGUUUGUGGGGAAACAGGUUGUGGUAAAACAACUCAGGUUCGAAUUUGUUAUGCCUUGUUUUGAAGCUUACUUGUUUUAGGUAGUUUCUGUAGCUGAAAGAGUUGCCGAUGAGCGAGUUGAAUCUUCACCAGGUUCAUAUGAUUCUUUGGUUGGCUAUCAAGUACGUCUUGAUAGUGCAAGGGACAGUAAUGAUCAACUAAGUCUGAAUCAUGUGCUAUUGCAACCACAGAGUUGGAGUAAAACAAUCAAAGGACCUUCCACGUGGGUCUUGAAAUAAUGCAUGGCCGUAUCAACAUGUUGAUCCCAAACAGUACACUUAAGAUGAUUGCCCCUAAAAGUUAAAUAAACAGAUUGUGUAACUACCCUACACCUCAAAGUGAUAUAAUUGAUGCUUUAAACAGUGGCCUGGUGUAACUAUAGUACUGAUCAAAGUGAAAAAUUGAAUGCAUUAAACAGUGGCCUGUUGAAAUUGAAAGAGAACUUACCUCACUGUCAUGAAAGACACAUUCCUGACUCUUGAUGCUAUCCGAACUGUUGCGACCUUCGGGUACCGUAUAGAUAUUCAGAAAUUUGAAAGCAACCAAGAAAGAUGAAGGAAUCACUUAGACUGAAGGAGAGAAUAAUGGUAGACAAUUAUGAAGUUAGUACCAAGUAUUUAUACAGGCUUGGUGAGAAGUUUCAAAUCAGCCAUGAUCUCUCGGUUGCCUCCCAAAUGAGACUGCACAUUGGAAGAACAAACGACGCAUGGGCAAAUUUAAUUUGCAACUUCAUAUAUAUAUGUUGUAUCCGUUGUAUGUAGAUCGUAAAAUCAAUUGUAUUUGUAUUUGUAUCGUAUUGUAUUACUCAAUAGUUGUUCCUUUAUUAGAGUCCCAAUUAAAUUGUUGGCAACCGCAUUAAUAUGAAAGGCGACUGACCACUUUCCCAAAUAAUUGGGACUCUAAAAAAUGGCUGUUAAUCAUAGAUUUAUUCUUUCAAUUAAAAGACAAACACAAUUGAUUUUC
This is a long non-coding RNA of Ipomoea nil (Japanese morning glory), 1591 nucleotides long. RefSeq lists it as uncharacterized. The transcript has 9 exons. Lineage: Eukaryota; Viridiplantae; Streptophyta; Magnoliopsida; Solanales; Convolvulaceae. The record is from RefSeq and is a predicted model, not a curated record.